GAUGAAGAACGUAGCGAAAUGCGAUAAGUAAUGUGAAUUGCAGAAUUCAGUGAAUCAUCGAAUCUUUGAACGCACCUUGCGCCCUUUGGCCAUUCCGAAGGGCAUGCCUGUUUGAGUAUCAUGAACACCUCAACUCUUCAUGGUUUUCCGUGAUGAGCUUGGACUUUGGGGGUCUUGCUGGCCUAUGGUCAGCUCCUCUAAAAUAAAUCAGCUUGCCAGUGUUUGGUGGGUAUCACAGGUGUGAUAACUAUCUACGCUUGUGGUUUUCCACCAGGUAACCUUCAGCAGUGGAGGUUCGCUGGAGCUCACAGAUGUGUCUCUCCUCAGUGAGGACAGCUCUUUGAAUGUUUGAUCUCAAAUCAGGCAGGACUACCCGCUGAACUUAAGCAUAUCAAUAAGCGGAGGA
This 406-nucleotide unclassified non-coding RNA is filed under the name soil metagenome. RNAcentral describes it as "partial contains 5.8S ribosomal RNA, internal transcribed spacer 2, and large subunit ribosomal RNA". The stretch from base 1 to 121 matches the Rfam family "5.8S ribosomal RNA", at positions 35 to 154 of the family's 154-position model. The record is from RNAcentral.